RNAcentral lists this long non-coding RNA (371 nucleotides) under Homo sapiens (human). RNAcentral's name for it is "non-protein coding lnc-HS3ST3B1-4:1". Lineage: Eukaryota; Metazoa; Chordata; Mammalia; Primates; Hominidae. The record is from RNAcentral.
ACCUAUCUUGAGAAAUCCGACAACUCCAAGAACAAAGAGAAAUACUUACAAGCUUCUAGAUAAUGCAGAUACAUAGAGGCAAAAACCCAAUCAGACUGGCACAUAACCAAAAGUUUAUAAAAGUACAUUUACAGACCACCAAGUUUUUGAAAAAUUUAUUAAUUUCUUGCAUAUGGCUAUAACAAAUUUAAAGAUAUCCACUGUUACCAUUCUCAAUUGCUGCAUAAGAAACCACUCAAAACUUAGUGACUUAAGAUGACAAUGUAUUGUUUCUUGUGACCCUGUUGGCUAGCUGGGUAGUUCUUUUAUGCAUCCCACUUAGGUGGCAACAUUUACCUGGAGGGGCAGUUGGGAACUGAGCUCAAUUGAGU